CCUGUACUGCACACCCAGCCAGGAUCUGCAGUCAUGAAGCUAUUCGAGCGUUGUGCCUCCAGCUUGCACAACAUGAUCUUCACUAAAAGGCCAUACAGUAUGUCUUCAACAGCUGCCAGACAAAAUUUCAUACGGCCCUUAUCUUCUUCUUUGUGCCGGGGCCCAAUACAUCACACUGCCACUUGGUCAAUCACAGGCGGGACUGGCAAUUAGCGGCGCCGCAGUGUUAAGUGUUGACCACAAGAAAAAGGAAGAGGAUAGCUGCGGAGGCUGGCAGCAGGAUACCGGAGGCACUGGGGGUGUGGUGGGUGGUCAGGAUUUGAGAAGCCCAGAGCCCGUGUAACAGUAACAGCUCUGUGUACUGCAAGCCAUCCGGAAAACAGACCUUCUGGCAAAUGUGAGACCCUGAACUGACGAAGCAGAAAAGGAAUUCUCUCAUCUCUAAAAACUUCAACAAGUGAUAUUUACAUCUGCUCCUCUGUAGUUUGGCAUAUACAAGGUUGUAGUUAAAAUGAAGAAACUUCUAGAACUUUUUCUUUUAUGUGUUAAGGUGAAAUUAAAUGUUAAAAAUAUCUGGUGUGCAGUGCUAAGAUUCUCAUACUGUUAGCAUUAAGACAACUUAAAGUCUACCUUUCACGAUAAGCUGCAGCCGGAUAUAC
Hyla sarda is the source of this 659-nucleotide long non-coding RNA. RefSeq lists it as uncharacterized. The transcript is spliced from 3 exons. NCBI's taxonomy places the organism in Eukaryota, Metazoa, Chordata, Amphibia, Anura, Hylidae. The record is from RefSeq and is a predicted model, not a curated record.